GCGGGCUGGAGGUCGCGCGCCCGGGGCAGAGCCCUUCUGCUCCCCCUCUCCUCGCUCCAGGUGGGACUUUGGCCUCCGCGCCCCCUCCCGCCGGGCGCCGGCCCUCCAGGACUCCUCGGUCCCGGCAGCGCUCACACCGGGCCGUCCUAGUUGGUCUGAGGGCCCCUCCCUCCCUCGGCCACCCUGUCACCGCGGGACAGCCUCCCCGGGCCCGUGCCUGACACGAGGGCAGUGCCCAGGGGCUUGGCCUGGGCCGUGGGGCGACCCCGCGGGGUCUCCCCCAGCCUGAGAGACUGCGGGGAGGAGAGACGCCGGCUCGUGUCGCCCGCAGCGAGGACGGCAUGCGCACAUGCCUGCUGGCUGGAGCAGGAUCCCAUAUUUGGGAAAUUCCAGUGACUGCGUGCGCCUGGCCAGGGAGAGGAAGGAAAGCUGUGAAAAAUGUGACCGGAGAGAUUGGGAGGGUGAGGGGAGGGGUCCAGGAGAAGCAGCCUGGAGCCACGGAGGGGCAGAGGAAGGGUGCCAGGGAGAGGCCCGGGUGGAGACUGUGACCUGUCAGCUGUGACAGUUCAGCGCCCCCUUCCUUGGGCAGCUCUUCCCCACUCUGUCUACCACUGAGCUUGCUGGACGCUCUAGGGGGUUCCAAGGUAGCCCAGGAAAAAGCCUCCACAGAAAGCAGCACUUCCUUGCCUGUCCAGACCAGGAAAUAACAGUGAGUGCCAUGACAGGGUGUGGCCAAGGGGCCUGAGGGGCCAGGCCUUGGAGAAGGUAGGGGAGAGAGGGACCCAGAAUGGACCGAGGCCAAGAAUGCAAGAGAGAGAGAGAAAUAGCGCGCACGCACAAGUCUGGCUGCUGGUUAGAUCGCCACAGAGACCGGCAGCUGACUCACCUGGGCAUGCCAAAACUAGCCAGUCUGUCCUCACCCUGCCCCAUGGUGAACGUGAAGCCUGCCUGGGGAGCCUAGGUACUUGCUGUGUGCCCUAAGGCCCUGAGUCUGGCACCCUCACCAUGUGCAGCCCGGAGGAGGUGGCCCUGCUGCGGCUGGAGGAGGUCUUCUCAGCCACCCUUGCCCGCGUUAACAGCCUUGUCCUCCAGCCCCUUCUGGAGGCCGCUCCAGAGCCCUCAGACCCCUGGGGAAGAGAGUGCCUGCAGCAGCUGCACAGGAGCUCCCAGCAGCUGCGGAAGGUGACAAAGGAAAGCCUGCACUCGCUGCAGGAGAGGCUGCGCCACCCAGACUCCAAAGGUCUGGAAUCCCUGCUGCUGCUGCACAGCGCUGACUGCGUCCUACAGGUCCACCUGGAGUACAUCGAGGCCUACACAAGCUGCGUGGUGGUGCAGGCCUUUCAGAAGGCAGCAAAUAGGAGGAGUGAGUACUGGCGGGGCCAGCGGAAGGCGCUGCGGCAGCUCCUGGCAGGCAUGAGCUCAGAGGGCUCAGUGGGCACGGCGCUGGUCCAGGCCCUCGGCCAGCUGCUUACUCAUCAUGUGCAGCAGUACGUGCUCCUCCUGCUGAGCCUCGGGGACACCGUUGGGGAGCAUCACCGCACCCGGGAGCUGGUGGUGCACGCAGCCACCAUCUUUGUGAACUUGCAAUCCUUCAUGAGGCAGGAGCUGGACCAGGCCAUGGCCACGCAGGCCCUCUGGCACACUCUGAGCAGCCGGCUAAGGGAUGUGCUCUGUACCCGCACUCGCCGACUCUUGCAAGACAGCCAGGACAUGCCCAUGGUGGUCACCCCGCUGAGGGCAGAGCGUGUGCUGCUCUUUGAUGAUGCCCUUGUCCUGCUGCAGGGCCACAAUGUCCACACCUUUGAUCUGAAGCUGGUGUGGGUGGAACCUGGGCAGGACGGGUGCGUGUUUCACCUCCUCACGCCUGAGGAAGACUUCUCCUUUUGCUCCAAGGACCCUCAGGGCCGGGUGGUCUGGCAGUGGAAGGUUACCCAGGCUGUGUGCCAGGCCUUGCGUGGGAAGAAGGACUUCCCGGUGCUGGGGGCGGGCCUGGAGCCUUCUGAACCCCCCACCAGCCGCUGUGGAGCAUACACCUUCCGUGCGGAGGGCCGGUUCUGCCAGGCCACCUACGAGGGCGAGUGGUACUGGGGCAGGCCCCAUGGCAAGGGAACCCUGAAGUGGCCAGAUGGGCAGAAUCAUGUGGGGGAUUUCUGCCAGGGCCUGGAGCACGGCUUUGGCAUCCGCCUGGUGCCCCAGGCCCCCGAGGAUAAGUUUGACUGUUACAAGUGUCACUGGCGGGAAGGCGGCAUGUGCGGCUAUGGCAUCUGUGAGUACAGCACCAGCGAGGUGUACAAGGGCUACUUCCUGGAGGGCCUGCGGCAUGGAUUUGGGGUCCUCGAGAGCGCCCCACAGGCCCCUCAGCCCUGCAGGUACACGGGCCACUGGGAGAGGGGCCAGAAGAGUGGCUAUGGCGUCGAGGAGGACAGCGACAGGGGUGAGCGCUAUAUUGGCAUGUGGCAGGCUGACCAGCGCCUUGGCCCCGGGGUCAUGGUCACCCAGGCAGGUGUCUGUUACCAGGGCACCUUCCAGGCAGACAAGAUAGUGGGCCCAGGAAUCCUUCUCUCUGAAGAUGACUCCUUGUACGAGGGCACCUUCACCAGGGACCUGACCCUUGUGGGGAAGGGCAAGGUCACCUUCCCUAAUGGCUUCACCCUGGAGGGCUCUUUUGGCAGCGGGGCAGGGAGAGGACUGCAUACCCAGGGUGUGCUGGACACAGCUGCCCUCCCUCCAGAUCCAAGCAGUACCUGCAAGAGGCAGCUGGGUCUGGGCGUCUUCCCCAUGGAGAGCCGCUGGCAGGGCGUCUAUGGCCCCUUCUGGGACUUUGUUCGCGCCGGCUGCCCUGGGGACCUGCAGGAGGCCCUGCUGGGCUUCCAUGUGCAGAGCUCGCGGGAGCUGCGCAAGUCCCAGGAGCACCUGUGCUGCGAGAGGACCCACCCCGAGGACCAUGUGGGCAGAAUGGAGGACAUCCUGGAGGAGCUGCUUCAGCACCGGGAGCCCAAGGCCCUGCAGCAGUACCUCAGGAAGGCUCUGAGCAACUCUCUGCAUCCCCUGGGAAAGCUGCUUCAGACUCUGAUGCUGACCUUCCAGGCCACAUACGCAGGCAUUGGGGCCAACAAGCACCUGCAGGGGCUGGCGCAGGAGGAGGUGAAGCAGCACGCCCAGGAACUCUGGGCCGCCUACAGGGGUCUGCUGCAGGUUGCCUUACAGCGCAAGGGCCAGGCCCUAGAGGAAGAUGAAGAUGCUGAGACAAGGGACCUGCAGGUGCACAGAUUAGUGCUACCCCUCAUGCUGCCCAGCUUCUACUCGGAGCUCUUCACUCUCUACCUGCUUCUUCAUGAAAGGGAGGACAGCCUCUACAGCCAGGGCAUUGCCAACCUGAGCCUCUUCCCCGACACCAAGCUGCUUGAGUUCCUGGAUGUGCAGAAGUCCCUUCGAUCCAUUGAUACUGCGCGUGUUGAGGGCAUGAACACGCUCUCUCCUCCCACACCUGGUCCACUUUGUCUCAAGGCACCUGUGGCCCUUCAAGGACCUCACACUGACGAGCAAUCAGAGAUAUUCCCUCGUCAGAGACAAGUGCUUCCUGUCAGCCACAGAGUGUCUGCAGAAGAUGAUCACCACGGUGGACCCCCGGGAGAAGCUGGAGGUGCUGGAGAGGACAUAUGGGGAAAUCGAGGCCACCGUGUCACGGGUGCUGGGCCAGGAGCACAAGCUGCCCAUGGACGACCUGCUGCCGCUGCUCAUCUACGUGGUGUCACGUGCCCAGUGAGCUCCCGCUGGGGGCGGGCUGCAGGAGAAUCCAGCACCUGGGGGCCGAGAUCCACCUGAUCCGUGAUAUGAUGGACUCUACCCACACAGGAGGCCGGUAUGACUUCCUGCUCACAGCGCUGGAGUCCUGUUACGAGCACAUCCAGAAGGAGGACAUGGGACUGCAUCGCUUGCCCAGCCGCUGGAACUCCAGGGAGCUAUGGUAGCUCAGCUUCUCCUGGACAAACCGCAGAGCUGAGAGGGGGUGCCGUGGAAUUCCC
RNA transcript from Hippopotamus amphibius kiboko, 4025 nucleotides. It is a transcript of the gene named ALS2 C-terminal like, with no coding region annotated. The record is from RefSeq and is a predicted model, not a curated record. The transcript has 27 exons. Lineage: Eukaryota; Metazoa; Chordata; Mammalia; Artiodactyla; Hippopotamidae.